GAUGAACGCUGGCGGCGUGCUUAACACAUGCAAGUCGAACGAUGAAGCCCAGUUUGCUGGGUGGAUUAGUGGCGAACGGGUGAGUAACACGUGAGUAACCUGCCCUUGACUCUGGGAUAAGCGCUGGAAACGGCGUCUAAUACCGGAUACGAGCUUCCACCGCAUGGUGAGUUGCUGGAAAGAAUUUCGGUCAAGGAUGGACUCGCGGCCUAGCAGGUAGUUGGUGAGGUAACGGCUCACCAAGCCGACGACGGGUAGCCGGCCUGAGAGGGUGACCGGCCACACGGGGACUGAGACACGGCCCAGACUCAUACGGGAGGCAGGAGUGGGGAAUAGUGCACAAAGGGCGCAAGCCUGAUGCAGCAACGCCGCGUGAGGGAAGAAGGCCUUCGGGUCGUAAACCUCUUUUAGCAGGGAAGAAGCGAAAGUGACGGUACCUGCAGAAAAAGCACCGGCUAAUUACGU
RNAcentral lists this ribosomal RNA (465 nucleotides) under uncultured bacterium. RNAcentral describes it as "partial 16S ribosomal RNA". It matches the Rfam family "Bacterial small subunit ribosomal RNA", at positions 28 to 506 of the family's 1533-position model. The record is from RNAcentral.